AUGAGGAAGGCCGAGCACAUCAUCUGCCCAGCUCCCAUGCCAGAAAACCCAGUAGACACCCGUCUAGCGGGGCUGCUGGUUCCGGCACCGCAUGUGGUGCCGGAGAAGAAGGCCAAGAAGGAGGCCACGGGUACUCAAAAGAGUUCCCGCUUUCAAGUGUCCGACGAUUCCGGGGCGGACUCCUCCCCCGAAGGCAAGGAGGAGGAAGAAGACCCUCUCUCAGAGGAAGGAGAGAGGAAGAGGAAGGCUUCCCCGACAGGGGAGGCCGAAGGGUCCAAGAGGGGAAGGACUAUUCCCCCGGACAGCUCCACCAACACCAACAUCGGCGAUGAAGAGUGGCCCUCAAGGGCCAGGCCUCCGGCAAGAUCGUAA
This 372-nucleotide ribosomal RNA is filed under the name Triticum aestivum (bread wheat). RNAcentral's name for it is "partial small subunit ribosomal RNA". Lineage: Eukaryota; Viridiplantae; Streptophyta; Magnoliopsida; Poales; Poaceae. The record is from RNAcentral.